Molecule: microRNA, 22 nt
Filed under: Ictalurus punctatus (channel catfish)
Lineage: Eukaryota; Metazoa; Chordata; Actinopteri; Siluriformes; Ictaluridae
Description: ipu-miR-7559
Source: miRBase by way of RNAcentral
UGCCACACGACUGCUCAGCUCA